GACGAACGCUGGCGGCGUGCUUAACACAUGCAAGUCGAACGGAAAGGCCCUUCUGUGGUGGGGUGCUCGAGUGGCGAACGGGUGAGUAACACGUGAGUAACCUGCCCUUGACUUUGGGAUAACUUCAGGAAACUGGUGCUAAUACCGGAUAGGAGCUCCUGCUGCAUGGUGGGGGUUGGAAAGUUUCGGCGGUUGGGGAUGGACUCGCGGCUUAUCAGCUUGUUGGUGGGGUAGUGGCUUACCAAGGCUUUGACGGGUAGCCGGCCUGAGAGGGUGACCGGCCACACUGGGACUGAGAUACGGCCCAGACUCCUACGGGAGGCAGCAGUGGGGAAUAUUGCACAAUGGGCGGAAGCCUGAUGCAGCAACGCCGCGUGCGGGAUGACGGCCUUCGGGUUGUAAACCGCUUUCGCCUGUGACGAAGCGUGAGUGACGGUAAUGGGUAAAGAAGCACCGGCUAACUACGUG
This 468-nucleotide ribosomal RNA is filed under the name uncultured bacterium. Its description in RNAcentral is "partial 16S ribosomal RNA". It matches the Rfam family "Bacterial small subunit ribosomal RNA", at positions 28 to 507 of the family's 1533-position model. The record is from RNAcentral.